This is a non-coding RNA of Ictidomys tridecemlineatus (thirteen-lined ground squirrel), 373 nucleotides long. The record is from RefSeq and is a predicted model, not a curated record. NCBI's taxonomy places the organism in Eukaryota, Metazoa, Chordata, Mammalia, Rodentia, Sciuridae.
CGGCUCUCUCCUGCUCUGGCUGCCUGGCAUCGGCUGUCCAUCUCUGCCCCGGAGCCACUUCUCCAGACCAGUUUGUAGUGAUCCUGGGCAGCUGGUGUGGGCCAGCCCCAGUUAUGUACAGGUAUCCUGGGUGGCAAUGGCUGUUUGGAAGACCUGAAGUGCUUCAGGGAGUAAAGGACACAGGACUAACUUCAAUGUAAAUGACACAUGAAGGACAUCAGCCAUCAGUGGAAUGUGGAAGAAUUACCCAAGAACCACUAAAGAGGAGGAAAUAAAGACCAAAAGGAUUGAACUGAUUCAGGAACAAAACAAGUAAGGGUCUUUUCCCUACAGAGAGAAACUGGACACCAGAGAAUAAAACUAUCCCAAUCUG